Molecule: ribosomal RNA, 253 nt
Filed under: uncultured bacterium
Lineage: Bacteria
Description: partial 16S ribosomal RNA
Rfam family: Bacterial small subunit ribosomal RNA
Source: RNAcentral
UACGGAGGGUGCAAGCAUUAAUCGGAAUUACUGGGCGUAAAGGGCGCGUAGGCGGAUUUGUAAGUCAGAUGUGAAAUUCCGAUGCUCAACAUCGGAACUGCAUUUGAAACUGUGAGUCUAGAGGAUUGGCGGAGAAAGUGGAAUUCCACGAGUAGCGGUGAAAUGCGUAGAUAUGUGGAGGAACACCGGUGGCGAAGGCGACUUUCUAGCUUAUACCUGACGCUGAGGCGCGAGAGCAAGGGGAUCAAACAGG